AGUUCAUUGCAUAUAGGAAGAAACAGAGGCCCAGAAAUGUUAUGUGACUUAAAUAGUUGCAGAGCUAAGAUCAGAACUCAGGUUUCCGUUAAUGUGGAGUUUUUUUUUAUGGUAUAAUCUGCUACAUCUACCAUAAAAGAGUCUUGAUCCCCAUAGCUUUAAGGCACAGAUUUCCCAACUCUCCUGAUAGUAUCAGCUGUGAUGCUUUGUAAAACACUGAUUCUUGGGACCACCCAUGGAAGAUUACUUGUCCAUGGUAUCUGAGAGUGGGUCAAAGAAAACUGUAUUAUUAAAAGGUACUCCGAUAAAAAAAAAAUAUUUUAAAGAAAAUAAAAAGGU
This is a long non-coding RNA of Leopardus geoffroyi (Geoffroy's cat), 339 nucleotides long. RefSeq lists it as uncharacterized. The transcript has 2 exons. NCBI's taxonomy places the organism in Eukaryota, Metazoa, Chordata, Mammalia, Carnivora, Felidae. The record is from RefSeq and is a predicted model, not a curated record.